AGUAAAAUACCUUAUCUAAAGGGCCACCUUGAUGCGGCGGACAUGUCUAUUACUUUUACUG
Molecule: transfer RNA, 61 nt
Filed under: Gammarus chevreuxi
Lineage: Eukaryota; Metazoa; Arthropoda; Malacostraca; Amphipoda; Gammaridae
Description: tRNA-Ile
Source: RNAcentral